RNAcentral lists this unclassified non-coding RNA (338 nucleotides) under soil metagenome. RNAcentral describes it as "partial contains 5.8S ribosomal RNA, internal transcribed spacer 2, and large subunit ribosomal RNA". The stretch from base 1 to 120 matches the Rfam family "5.8S ribosomal RNA", at positions 35 to 154 of the family's 154-position model. The record is from RNAcentral.
GAUGAAGAACGUAGUGAAAUGCGAUAAGUAAUGUGAAUUGCAGAAUUCAGUGAAUCAUCGAAUCUUUGAACGCACAUUGCGCCCGGCAGUACUCUGCCGGGCAUGCCUGUUCGAGCGUCAUUUCAACCCUCAAGCCCUGCUUGGUGUUGGGGUCCCACGGCCGCCGUGGGCCCUGAAAGGAAGUGGCGGGCUCGCUACAACUCCGAGCGUAGUAAUUCAUUAUCUCGCUUAGGGCGUUGGGCGGCGCUCCUGCCGUUAAAGAACCAUCUUUAACUCAAGGUUGACCUCGGAUCAGGUAGGAAUACCCGCUGAACUUAAGCAUAUCAAUAAGCGGAGGA